Non-coding RNA from Xyrichtys novacula (pearly razorfish), 114 nucleotides. The record is from the annotation of a GenBank genome assembly. Lineage: Eukaryota; Metazoa; Chordata; Actinopteri; Labriformes; Labridae.
UAACGGAGCCCCCCUGGUGACAUGGAUGAAAAAAUAAUAAUGCGUGGCCACGCGUUAUUAUCCCGUGACGCAUUUUAUUUUUUUUUCAUCCAUGUCACCAGGGGGGCUCCGUAA